GAUGCCUCCAGAAUAACCAGAAGGUGAAACUGUGAUGGAAUACCAUUUGGUUCAGACAGAGGCGGAUAGAUCUUGAAGCAGGUUGAGAGUGUGGAACAGAAAUUUAUUGUUCCUUUUCCUACCAUAGUUUCAUAUAUUU
Molecule: non-coding RNA, 139 nt
Organism: Morus notabilis
Lineage: Eukaryota; Viridiplantae; Streptophyta; Magnoliopsida; Rosales; Moraceae
Source: Rfam